GACAAAAAGGGACUGUGAGCAGCGCAGACAAGGGAAAGAGUCUCUUACUGAGCUGGAAAAGCCAGGGCGAGUGCUAGAAUACAGUUUUUCUACCAAUAAGCGGUAUUUUUGGAGCUAAUGUGCAGAGAGUGUGCCAUUAGAUAAGUGCUGGCACGGGGCAUCAGGUUUAUAGGUACAAAAAGGUCUAGGACUGUUAACACAGUAAAGCUGGAAUUACCUUUUUGGGGGGUUGUUAGAAGCAUCUGCAUGGAGGGAAUAUUUUUUGCAAGAUUGCUGCAUAGUUAAAAAUUGGCAUGCAGGCUUGUUGGAUGUGCCUUUUAUCUAUUUAAGCCGUUUUUCUUGCAAAUGCAUGUUUCAAACCUGUGUGACUUUGCAGGGUGCAGCAGAGAAUUUUGGGGAGACUACAUGCAUGCUGCAGAAUCCAGAUGAGCUACAUUACAUGACAACCUGUGUCCAAGGAGACAAUGUAAAGUUGAAGAUGGUGGUUGACUGUGACAGAUUGAUUUUGGUUUGUGUGCUGAUGCAGAAAAAGGU
Non-coding RNA from Xyrichtys novacula (pearly razorfish), 534 nucleotides. NCBI's taxonomy places the organism in Eukaryota, Metazoa, Chordata, Actinopteri, Labriformes, Labridae. The record is from the annotation of a GenBank genome assembly.